UACGUAGGCAGCAAGCGUUGUUCGGAGUUACUGGGCGUAAAGGGUGUGUAGGCGGUUGUUUAAGUUUGGUGUGAAAUCUCCCGGCUCAACUGGGAGGGUGCGCCGAAUACUGAAUGACUUCGAGUGCGGGAGAGGAAAGUGGAAUUCCUGGUGUAGCGGUGAAAUGCGUAGAUAUCGGGAGGAACACCUGUGGCGAAAGCGGCGCACUGGACCAUAACUGACGCUGAGGCGCGAAAGCUAGGGGAGCAAACAGG
This 254-nucleotide ribosomal RNA is filed under the name uncultured bacterium. RNAcentral's name for it is "partial 16S ribosomal RNA". It matches the Rfam family "Bacterial small subunit ribosomal RNA", at positions 524 to 776 of the family's 1533-position model. The record is from RNAcentral.